RNAcentral lists this ribosomal RNA (253 nucleotides) under uncultured bacterium. Its description in RNAcentral is "partial 16S ribosomal RNA". It matches the Rfam family "Bacterial small subunit ribosomal RNA", at positions 524 to 776 of the family's 1533-position model. The record is from RNAcentral.
UACGGGGGGGGCAAGCGUUGUUCGGAAUUACUGGGCGUAAAGGGCUCGUAGGCGGCCAACUAAGUCCGACGUGAAAUCCCCAGGCUUAACCUGGGAACUGCGUCGGAUACUGGUUGGCUUGAAUCCGGGAGAGGGAUGCGGAAUUCCAGGUGUAGCGGUGAAAUGCGUAGAUAUCUGGAGGAACACCGGUGGCGAAGGCGGCUACCUGGCCCGGUACUGACGCUGAGGUGCGAAAGCGUGGGGAGCAAACAGG